RNAcentral lists this ribosomal RNA (465 nucleotides) under uncultured Klebsiella sp. Its description in RNAcentral is "bacterial SSU rRNA". It matches the Rfam family "Bacterial small subunit ribosomal RNA", at positions 338 to 795 of the family's 1533-position model. The record is from RNAcentral. Lineage: Bacteria; Pseudomonadati; Pseudomonadota; Gammaproteobacteria; Enterobacterales; Enterobacteriaceae.
CCUACGGGGCGCUGCAGUGGGGAAUAUUGCACAAUGGGCGCAAGCCUGAUGCAGCCAUGCCGCGUGUGUGAAGAAGGCCUUCGGGUUGUAAAGCACUUUCAGCGGGGAGGAAGGCGGUGAGGUUAAUAACCUCAUCGAUUGACGUUAACCGCAGAAGAAGCACCGGCUAACUCCGUGCCAGCAGCCGCGGUAAUACGGAGGGUGCAAGCGUUAAUCGGAAUUACUGGGCGUAAAGCGCACGCAGGCGGUCUGUCAAGUCGGAUGUGAAAUCCCCGGGCUCAACCUGGGAACUGCAUUCGAAACUGGCAGGCUAGAGUCUUGUAGAGGGGGGUAGAAUUCCAGGUGUAGCGGUGAAAUGCGUAGAGAUCUGGAGGAAUACCGGUGGCGAAGGCGGCCCCCUGGACAAAGACUGACGCUCAGGUGCGAAAGCGUGGGGAGCAAACAGGAUUAGAUACCCCAGUAGUC